GGGGUGACACAGUGAAAGAGUGAGGAAGGGGGUGACACAGUGACAGAGUGAGGGAGGGGGUGACUAGUGACAGAGUGAAGGAGGUGGUGACUGUCACUAAUCACCACCUCCCUCACUCUGUCAUAGUCACCCCUUCCCUCCCUCACUGUCACUAGUCACCCCCUCCCUCUCUCUGUCACUAGUCACCCCUCCCUCUCUCUGUCACUGGUCACACCCUUCCUCACUCUGUCACUAAUCACACCC
Non-coding RNA from Pelobates cultripes (western spadefoot toad), 243 nucleotides. Lineage: Eukaryota; Metazoa; Chordata; Amphibia; Anura; Pelobatidae. The record is from the annotation of a GenBank genome assembly.